RNAcentral lists this ribosomal RNA (216 nucleotides) under Glomeromycotina sp. RNAcentral describes it as "partial small subunit ribosomal RNA". The stretch from base 40 to 216 matches the Rfam family "Eukaryotic small subunit ribosomal RNA", at positions 686 to 864 of the family's 1831-position model. The record is from RNAcentral. Lineage: Eukaryota; Fungi; Glomeromycota.
GGGUCAGUAGGUUGGUCGUGCCACCGGUACGUACUGGUCUCACUAAUUCCUCCUUCCUGAAGAACCGUAAUGCCAUUAAUUUGGUGUUGCGGGGAAGCAGGACUGUUACUUUGAAAAAAUUAGAGUUUUUAAAGCAAGCUAACGCUUGAAUACAUUAGCAUGGAAUAAUGAAAUAGGACGAUCGAUCCUAUUUUGUUGGUUUCUAGGAUUGACGUA